UGGGGAAUUUUGGACAAUGGGGGAAACCCUGAUCCAGCCAUCCCGCGUGUGCGAUGAAGGCCUUCGGGUUGUAAAGCACUUUUGGCAGGAAAGAAACGUCAUGGGUUAAUACCCCGUGAAACUGACGGUACCUGCAGAAUAAGCACCGGCUAACUACGUGCCAGCAGCCGCGGUAAUACGUAGGGUGCAAGCGUUAAUCGGAAUUACUGGGCGUAAAGCGUGCGCAGGCGGUUCGGAAAGAAAGAUGUGAAAUCCCAGAGCUCAACUUUGGAGCUGCAUUUUUAACUGCCGGGCUAGAGUGUGUCAGGGGGAGGUGGAAUUCCGGUUGAAGCGGUGAAAUGCGUAGAUAUGCGGAGGAACACCGAUGGCGAAGGCAGCCUCCUGGGAUAACACUGACGCUCAUGGACGAAAGCGUGGGGAGCAAACAGG
This 429-nucleotide ribosomal RNA is filed under the name Acidobacteriota bacterium. RNAcentral's name for it is "Acidobacteria bacterium partial 16S ribosomal RNA". It matches the Rfam family "Bacterial small subunit ribosomal RNA", at positions 355 to 776 of the family's 1533-position model. Lineage: Bacteria; Pseudomonadati; Acidobacteriota. The record is from RNAcentral.